This 270-nucleotide unclassified non-coding RNA is filed under the name Hevea brasiliensis (rubber tree). The record is from RNAcentral. Lineage: Eukaryota; Viridiplantae; Streptophyta; Magnoliopsida; Malpighiales; Euphorbiaceae.
GAAUGUGUUUGAGAGCUUAGCUCUUUUUGUAAUGUAAGAUAAGAGGGUUAGUGUUUGGGAGGGUCAUUUGAUGAUCACCAUGAAAAAAUUUGUGUAUAGUUCCUAUUGGUGAUUGAAUUUUUGUCAUUUACUCUGUGAAUGUAAUUCAGUAAUUGUAAUGUCUUGAUCCUUCAUUGCAAAAAGAGCUAAGCUCUCAAACACAUUCCGUUACCAAAAGAUGAAAUAGUUUUUCAGUGAAAAACUGUUUCAUCUUUUCCAGCAUAGUCCUGC